This 1030-nucleotide long non-coding RNA is filed under the name Coturnix japonica (Japanese quail). RNAcentral describes it as "lncRNA (ENSCJPG00005017547.1)". The record is from RNAcentral. Lineage: Eukaryota; Metazoa; Chordata; Aves; Galliformes; Phasianidae.
AAUCAGCUGAGGCAAGUGUUGGGUCAUCUGUGGGAGCACAGGUGAGAGUAAUUUAGCUGUGCUCCUGGAAGAGGUGGAGUCAAGCUAAACGUCAUUUAAGGGCUGACCACUGCUAAGGCAGCAUCUCUUGGAGAUCACUUCUCAGUGGAGAUUGCCUCAGUGGUUCCCAGCAGACCAAAGGCUUCCAUACGGGUGAGUUUUUCCUGUAAAUAACCUUUUGGGUAUUUACAACUACUAUCUUUUCAUUAUUGUCACCAUACAACUUAUUUAAGGUACCUGACACCUUACCUGUCCCAAAGGAGUUGAAGUUGUUGUACCAGUGAUGUGUUUAUUUUGAUUCUUAGUAAACUAAGAUACACAGCGUUACAAGAACUGUAAAGAUGGGUUUUUAACUUUCAGAAAUGUUCUGAUCAUUGACAAUCUCUGCUUCAUAUACCACUAGGAGGAAGAACAGGGACAAUAAACAUACAGGUAAAUAAGAAUCCUAUGAAAUAAGUAACCAUUAGCUUAAUUCUAGCAAAGCUUACCAGCACUUGCUGACGUUCUUUUUUUUUACUUAAUUAUUUUUUUUCAGGAUAAUAGAUGCUCUUAUUUAAUAAGCUGAGAGAGUUCAUAAGAAUUUGCUGAAAAGUCUUGCUGAGUACAAGUAGAGUUAAAAGGGCUGGCUGCGCUACUGUUGGAUGCUGGUUAAAUGUUAGGCCAUAUUUGUUCACAGAUUUUUACAAAUUAAGAUUGAUUGGGAAGAUGGUUAUGACUUUACAUUACUGUUUGAAAGGCUGUCUGCAAAGGGCAUUGACCAACAGCACUGCUGCAAAAAGGAGAGAGAAUCCCAGAUUACCACAGGAAUCUGUAUUAUGGCACAGCCAUUACCACAAAGACACUGAGAAACUGAAGAAGGGCCAGAAAACUCUACUACCACAGGCGUAGAGACUGGAAAGACUGAAUUCAGGGUGAAUUGAUUUAAAUCAGAACACAGGAAGCUUGGAUUUGUACAAAUAAAUACCGACUUGUUAUGUAUUUAUACUUUCCC